GUGCUCAUACUGGCAGCACAUAUACUAAAGGUGGAAAAAAUACGGAGAAGGUUAGCAGGACCCCUGUGUAAGGUGGCACACAAAAUCAUAGUUACAUAUAAAAAAAGA
Non-coding RNA from Erinaceus europaeus (western European hedgehog), 108 nucleotides. The record is from Rfam. Lineage: Eukaryota; Metazoa; Chordata; Mammalia; Eulipotyphla; Erinaceidae.